Molecule: ribosomal RNA, 253 nt
Filed under: uncultured bacterium
Lineage: Bacteria
Description: partial 16S ribosomal RNA
Rfam family: Bacterial small subunit ribosomal RNA
Source: RNAcentral
UACGUAGGGUGCAAGCGUUGUCCGGAAUUAUUGGGCGUAAAGAGCUCGUAGGCGGUCUGUCGCGUCUGCUGUGAAAACUCGGGGCCUAACCCCGGGCCUGCAGUGGGUACGGGCAGACUAGAGUGCGGUAGGGGAGACUGGAAUUCCUGGUGUAGCGGUGAAAUGCGCAGAUAUCAGGAGGAACACCGGUGGCGAAGGCGGGUCUCUGGGCCGUAACUGACGCUGAGGAGCGAAAGCAUGGGGAGCGAACAGG